UACGGGGGGGGCAAGCGUUGUUCGGCAUUACUGGGCGUAAAGGGCUCGUAGGUGGCCAACUAAGUCAGACGUGAAAUCCCUCGGCUUAACCGGGGAACUGCGUCUGAUACUGGAUGGCUUGAGUUUGGGAGAGGGAUGCGGAAUUCCAGGUGUAGCGGUGAAAUGCGUAGAUAUCUGGAGGAACACCGGUGGCGAAGGCGGCAUCCUGGACCAACACUGACACUGAGGAGCGAAAGCCAGGGGAGCAAACGGG
Molecule: ribosomal RNA, 253 nt
Filed under: uncultured bacterium
Lineage: Bacteria
Description: partial 16S ribosomal RNA
Rfam family: Bacterial small subunit ribosomal RNA
Source: RNAcentral